This 497-nucleotide ribosomal RNA is filed under the name uncultured bacterium. RNAcentral describes it as "partial 16S ribosomal RNA". It matches the Rfam family "Bacterial small subunit ribosomal RNA", at positions 28 to 507 of the family's 1533-position model. The record is from RNAcentral.
GAUGAACGCUGGCGGCGUGCCUAAUACAUGCAAGUCGAGCGAACGGACGAGAAGCUUGCUUCUCUGAUGUUAGCGGCGGACGGGUGAGUAACACGUGGAUCACCUACCUAUAAGACUGGGAUAACUUCGGGAAACCGGAGCUAAUACCGGAUAAUAUUUUGAACCGCAUGGUUCAAAAGUGAAAGACCGUCUUGCUGUCACUUAUAGAUGGAUCCGCGCUGCAUUAGCUAGUUGGUAAGGUAACGGCUUACCAAGGCAACGAUGCAUAGCCGACCUGAGAGAGUGAUCGGCCACACUGGAACUGAGACACGCUCCAGACUCCUACGGGAGGCAGCAGUAGGGAAUCUUCCGCAAGGGGCGAAAGCCUGACGGAGCAACGCCGCGUGAGUGAUGAAGGUCUUCGGAUCGUAAAACUCUGUUAUUGGGGAAGAACAUAUGUGUAAGUAACUGUGCGCAUCUUGACGGUACCUAAUCAGAAAACCACGGCUAACUACGUG